GUCAGGUGUGUUGGCGCACACCUGUAAUCCCAGCCACUUGGGAGGCUGAGGCAGGAGCAUCAAAAGUUCAAGACAGCAUGGGCAAUUUAGCAAGGUCCUGUCUCAA
Molecule: small RNA, 106 nt
Filed under: Marmota monax (woodchuck)
Lineage: Eukaryota; Metazoa; Chordata; Mammalia; Rodentia; Sciuridae
Source: RNAcentral